CAAAACAAUAGCUUAAUAAAAGCACCUUGCUUACACCAAGAAGAUGUUCACUAGCCCGAACUAUUUUGAAUUAAAG
This 76-nucleotide transfer RNA is filed under the name Eleutherodactylus unicolor (dull robber frog). Its description in RNAcentral is "tRNA-Val". Lineage: Eukaryota; Metazoa; Chordata; Amphibia; Anura; Eleutherodactylidae. The record is from RNAcentral.